AGCACCGCACUGCCAAGUGCUCUCUCCCUGUAAUGACAAUAUUGCCCACAGCUCUUUCCUUCAAAGGAGCAGAGAAAUUAGUGGGCCAUAUAGUGUUCUGCUCGAGUCCGUAGUUUCUGCUUUUUAAAAUGUGUUUAGGGAGAAGAUUUGUCAUUUGCAGAAAGGAACAAAGAAGUCAAGGGCACAUUUAGAUUUUCCAUAGUAAUUAGAUGCUUGUUCCCAGGGAAGCAUUUGGGUUUUUAAUCAAAUCUCCAAAGUUUUGGUCUCCUGGAUUAAACAAUUCCCCUUCUCCCUGACCUGGCCCUGCUUUUGUUUCAUUAUGUAGAUCUGACCUUUACCUCACAAAGGUGUUGGCACUGAGAAGAUGCAAUGAAAACUUUCUCCUCUACCCAAGGGUUGAAUUCAAGAUGGCUCCCAUGAAGAGGCACCCCAUUACCAGGGCUAGCUCUUGGCCUUGCAUGUUCUAGACUGGCUGUCCUGGGAUACUGAUGCUCACAAAUGCUGUCUCAGGUUGCACUUGGCUCUUAUUGGAACAGACUACUGGGAACACAUACUGGUACCUCAGUUCCAGGAAGAAUCUGUAUACAUGUAUUUAAUUACAUAUAUUGAAUUUCUUCCUCUCUGAGAGCUGUCCUAAUUGUACUGACCUACACGGAGGGAAGCACUGACAGAUGCAAUUUUGUGGAUACAACUUUACAACAGGAAUAUGGCCAGGUCUUUCCUUCUCUUCUGGUAUGGCUGGCUGAUAUGAAAUAUGAUUGAAUCUUGCCACCUGAAAUCUUGAAUAUGAAGACAUUUAUUUCUUCCUUUAUAACUUUUAAUGCAACAACUUCCAAAAAAGUAUUGGAAAUAAUUAUGGUAAGGUGAGUGCAAAAAGGUAGGUAAAUUAAUUGCACCAGGAACCUAAGCAUUAAAAACUCAAUAUGAGGGGCAUCUGGGUGGCUCAGUUGAUUAAGCAUCUGCCUUUAGUUCAGGUCAUGACCUCAGGAUCCUGGGACUAAGUCCCUCAUCUGGCUCCCUGCUCAGCAGGGAGUCUGUUUCUCCCUCUCUCUGCCCCUACCCCCCCCACCCCGCUCAUGUUCUCUCUUGCGUGCGUGCCACAUGUGCGUGUGCUCUCUCUGUGUCAAAUAAAUAAAUAAAAUCUUCAAAAAA
Molecule: long non-coding RNA, 1152 nt
Filed under: Ursus maritimus (polar bear)
Lineage: Eukaryota; Metazoa; Chordata; Mammalia; Carnivora; Ursidae
Description: lncRNA (ENSUMAG00000019045.1)
Source: RNAcentral